RNAcentral lists this non-coding RNA (23 nucleotides) under Ascaris suum (pig roundworm). Its record names the gene asu-miR-34-5p. The record is from miRBase by way of RNAcentral. RNAcentral also lists the same sequence under 26 other names. Lineage: Eukaryota; Metazoa; Nematoda; Chromadorea; Rhabditida; Ascarididae.
UGGCAGUGUGGUUAGCUGGUUGU